RNAcentral lists this ribosomal RNA (497 nucleotides) under uncultured bacterium. Its description in RNAcentral is "partial 16S ribosomal RNA". It matches the Rfam family "Bacterial small subunit ribosomal RNA", at positions 28 to 507 of the family's 1533-position model. The record is from RNAcentral.
GACGAACGCUGGCGGCGUGCCUAAUACAUGCAAGUUGAGCGCUGAAGGUUGGUACUUGUACCGACUGGAUGAGCAGCGAACGGGUGAGUAACGCGUGGGGAAUCUACCUUUGAGCGGGGGACAACAUUUGGAAACGAAUGCUAAUACCGCAUAAAAACUUUAAACACAAGUUUUAAGUUUGAAAGAUGCAAUUGCAUCACUCAAAGAUGAUCCCGCGUUGUAUUAGCUAGUUGGUGAGGUAAAGGCUCACCAAGGCGAUGAUACAUAGCCGACCUGAGAGGGUGAUCGGCCACAUUGGGACUGAGACACGGCCCAAACUCCUACGGGAGGCAGCAGUAGGGAAUCUUCGGCAAUGGACGAAAGUCUGACCGAGCAACGCCGCGUGAGUGAAGAAGGUUUUCGGAUCGUAAAACUCUGUUGGUAGAGAAGAACGUUGGUGAGAGUGGAAAGCUCAUCAAGUGACGGUAACUACCCAGAAAGGGACGGCUAACUACGUG